This 316-nucleotide ribosomal RNA is filed under the name uncultured eukaryote. RNAcentral describes it as "partial 18S ribosomal RNA". It matches the Rfam family "Eukaryotic small subunit ribosomal RNA", at positions 1470 to 1796 of the family's 1831-position model. The record is from RNAcentral.
CCCUUAGAUGUUCUGGGCCGCACGCGCGCUACACUGACGAAUGCAACGAGCUUAUAACCUUGGCCGAAAGGUCUGGGUAAUCUCCAAAUUUCGUCGUGAUGGGGAUAGAUCUUUGGAAUUAUUGAUCUUGAACGAGGAAUGCCUAGUAAUCGUAGGUCAUCAGCCUGCGAUGAUUACGUCCCUGCCCUUUGUACACACCGCCCGUCGCUCCUACCGAUUUCGAGUGGUUCGGUGAACCUUUCGGACCGGCAAUGCCUCGUGUUGCGCCGGAAAGUCAAGUAAACCAUAUCACUUAGAGGAAGGAGAAGUCGUAACA